Rattus norvegicus (Norway rat) is the source of this 1237-nucleotide non-coding RNA. NCBI's taxonomy places the organism in Eukaryota, Metazoa, Chordata, Mammalia, Rodentia, Muridae. The record is from RefSeq and is a predicted model, not a curated record.
CUGAGAAAGUGUCAAUCUUCCAUUGUUAGGACCUUUUUCUUUGAGGCAAGAGAUCUCACAAGCUAAACACUUGAGCAGUUGGUGAGUGCAAAGGAUUGUAACUGCUGAUCAGUCUCAUGCCUGCCACAUAGCAGAGAAGCCAUGGUUAGCUAUCAACCUCCAACCAUUAUGAAUGAGCUCUAGCAACACCAUCUGCUUCACAAAGGAGCUAGGAUGAUGACUCCAGUUCGGACUCCCGCAAAAACAGAAGUGUCAGGGUGAAGAUGACCAGAGUGGCAAACAGACUGAGGAGAUCAGUAGAACAUUCUAAAGGACAAGAAACCUUCUGAAAGCAGAUAAAAAGUGGAGAGAUUGAUGGAAAAAUGACAGAAGACGGGAAAUGGAAAUUCCCUCCAUGAGAAUACGGAGAAGGAGAACUUCACUACCUAAGAAUGGCUGUAAAGGGUAGGGCACAGCACUGUUCUCAGUCAGAGGCAAAUGUCCACGAGCUUGAAUAUUCUCAAGAAGACAGAAGUCCUGAUCAAUGGUGCACAUACCGGCUGCCACUACAGGGACAACAUAUGUGUCCCUCUGAAUUAAUUAUAAAUGGUAGGUUUCCAUUUACAGCUCUCUUCUAUCAAAAGCUCUCACAGCCCCCCAACUUUCUUAUUUCCUGUUUUCCUUUUAUCUCAGAAUUUCCUAAGUUUGAAUCUAAGAGUCUACAAAUCAUGAACUACAUGAUUUUGAAGAGAAGUUUAACCUCAUUUUUAUAACUGGCAAAAUAUAAAUAGUUUUACAGCUUUGGGUUAUUACACAAAAAGUUCUUCAAAGAUCCCAAUGCACCCUAUGGAUAAAGCUGAUUGGUAAUGGACAUAUGGAGAACCUUAAUGUAUAUAACAUGAAUAACUCAUAGAGCCUUGAUCAGUGUCAGAUGAGAAUAUACAGGUAGAACUUUAAUUAAUAACCACAGAAACCUAACCCAACAAUGCCAAUAAGUUCCCAAUAAUAUUAUUAUGUAUAGUCAUAUAGAAAAGUUUAUGUGAUCCUAUUUUCCAUUUCUGAUUGAUUACGCACCUUUUCAUCAGCUUGUAUAUUUGCCAAGUCCCCUGGGCAAUGGUGUUACUGAUUUGGACCUCUGCCUGUUGGACCUCUUUUCUAGUAUUUGUAUUACUGUCACAAAAUUAUUCUUCUGGUUAUGUUUAUUCAGUUGGUUAAAAUUAAGUGAAAUAAAUAUGCUUGCUAUUUUUGUCUCAUUUCA